GACAGAGGUGCCGAGCGUUAGGCGGAAUCACUGGGCUUAAAGCGUGUGUAGGCGGAUCCGUAAGUACCUUGUGAAAUCCCACGGCUCAACCGUGGAACUGCUUGGUAUACUGCGGGUCUUGAGCCACCUAGGGGCGAGCGGAACAAGUGGUGGAGCGGUGAAAUGCGUAGAUAUCACUUGGAACGCCAAUGGUGAAAACAGCUCGCUGGGGGUGUGCUGACGCUGAGACACGAAAGCCAGGGGAGCAAACGGG
This 253-nucleotide ribosomal RNA is filed under the name uncultured bacterium. RNAcentral's name for it is "partial 16S ribosomal RNA". It matches the Rfam family "Bacterial small subunit ribosomal RNA", at positions 524 to 776 of the family's 1533-position model. The record is from RNAcentral.